GACGAACGCUGGCGGCGUGCUUAACACAUGCAAGUCGAACGGUGACGAGGAGCUUGCUCCUCUGAUCAGUGGCGAACGGGUGAGUAACACGUGAGCAACCUGCCCCAGACUCUGGGAUAACAGUUGGAAACAGCUGCUAAUACCGGAUACGAGACGGAGAGGCAUCUCUACCGUCUGGAAAGUUUUUCGGUCUGGAGUGGACUCGCGGCCUAUCAGCUAGUUGGUGAGGUAAUGGCUCACCAAGGCGACGACGGGUAGCCGGCCUGAGAGGGCGACCGGCCACACUGGGACUGAGACACGGCCCAGACUCCUACGGGAGGCAGCAGUGGGGAAUAUUGCACAAUGGGCGAAAGCCUGAUGCAGCGACGCCGCGUGAGGGAUGAUGGCC
Molecule: ribosomal RNA, 388 nt
Filed under: uncultured bacterium
Lineage: Bacteria
Description: bacterial SSU rRNA
Rfam family: Bacterial small subunit ribosomal RNA
Source: RNAcentral